GACGAACGCUGGCGGCGUGCCUAAUACAUGCAAGUGGGACGCAAGGACACACACUGUGCUUGCACACCGUGUUUUCUUGAGUCGCGAACGGGUGAGUAACGCGUAGGUAACCUUCCUAUUAGCGGGGGAUAACUAUUGGAAACGAUAGCUAAUACCGCAUAAUAUUAAUUAUUGCAUGAUAAUUGAUUGCAUGCUGCAAUCGCAUCACUAGUAGAUGGACCUGCGUUUGAUUAGCUAGUUGGUAAGGUAAGAGCUUACCAAGGCGAAGAUACAUAGCCUACCUGGGAGGGUGAUCGGCCAAACUGGGACUGAGACACGGGCCAGACUCCUACGGGAGGCAGCAGUAGGGAAACUUCGGCAAUGGACGAAAGUCUGACCGAGCAACGCCGCGUGAGUGAAGAAGGGUUUCGGAUCGUAAAGCUCUGUUGUAAGUCAAGAACGUGUGUGAGAGUGGAAAGUUCACACAGUGACGGUAGCUUACCAGAAAGGGACGGCUAACUACGUG
RNAcentral lists this ribosomal RNA (505 nucleotides) under uncultured bacterium. RNAcentral describes it as "partial 16S ribosomal RNA". It matches the Rfam family "Bacterial small subunit ribosomal RNA", at positions 28 to 507 of the family's 1533-position model. The record is from RNAcentral.